GGGCCCGUGGCCUAGCCAGGAUAAGGCACCGGCCUUCGGAGCCGGAGAUCCCGGGUUCAAAUCCCGGCGGGCCCG
This 75-nucleotide transfer RNA is filed under the name Desulfurococcaceae archaeon. Its description in RNAcentral is "tRNA-Arg". It matches the Rfam family "tRNA". Rfam says of the family: Transfer RNA (tRNA) molecules are approximately 80 nucleotides in length. Their secondary structure includes four short double-helical elements and three loops (D, anti-codon, and T loops). Further hydrogen bonds mediate the characteristic L-shaped molecular structure. tRNAs have two regions of fundamental functional importance: the anti-codon, which is responsible for specific mRNA codon recognition, and the 3' end, to which the tRNAs corresponding amino acid is attached (by aminoacyl-tRNA synthetases). tRNAs cope with the degeneracy of the genetic code in two manners: having more than one tRNA (with a specific anti-codon) for a particular amino acid; and 'wobble' base-pairing, i.e. permitting non-standard base-pairing at the 3rd anti-codon position. The record is from RNAcentral. RNAcentral also lists the same sequence under 1 other name. Lineage: Archaea; Thermoproteati; Thermoproteota; Thermoprotei; Desulfurococcales; Desulfurococcaceae.